AAAAAGAAAAAAGAAGUCUUUUAUCACCUUCUCUCUGCAAGAAGCGAUAAACGUCACCCCCUUCGUCGGAACGGAGAGAUGCGAGAGAACGCCGACGAACGUCUUAAUCGGAAUCUGCUGGAAAGUCGGAUUCAUGCCCUAAUCAGGAAGCAGUGGCCUUAUCCAGGUUUGGUUGCCAUUGCCGAGAGAAUGAGCACUGUUUAGCACAAAGAUUUUGGUAGGAGCACUUUCUCUGGCGGCACAAGACAUCGGAUAUAUUAUUCAUAACUCCACGACUGCUUCUGGAUAAUAGAGCUGUUAGUAGCAGUGGAGAGAGCAACAUCAGAAUACACUUCCUCCCUGAAAUUUAUCGAAGAGCCACAAGCGGAAGAGAAACGAUCCUGUACAUUACCACAAGCCAACCGUGUGUGGAAGCCAGGUGCUUUAGCAGUCUAUCCAGGUUGGAAAAGUUAUAUGGAACAGAGGAUAAGCUUCUGAGUUGAUGCACAGUUUCCAUGAGUUAUAUGAUAUAUGCACUUCUGCGGUUAUACAAGCGAGCAACAAGAACUUGUGGGGUUGGAAGUUACAUUAGUGAAGAAAUAUCCAAGAUGGUUGGAGCCUUCUCUGAGAACAAAGCCUUUGGGAUCAGUGUGAACAAGCUUGGUGGAGAUAUCUGCAGACGGAUUUGGGAAACGAUGCACUUGAUAAACAACUUUUUGGUACUAAACCAGAGGAUAUAGAGACGCCAUGACAUGUUUCCAGGCUGUUGUAUCUUACAUGAAACCAGAAAUGCUGUCAAAGGUUUAAGGAGUUCUAUGAUGGAGGGUGGUUAUUGUUGGAAUCUCUGCUCGUUGAGAGUCAAAUGGGAGUGAGAGUGACAGUGUUUUAUUGUCCAGAGAAUCACAGUUUACUACGGUUCAAGGAGCUUGGAAUAGCGCACAUCGUGAUACUACCGAAGUUUCGUGGCAAGAGUUCACAUGGUUCAAGCAAGACGUUGAAGCCGAUUUUGAGAUGUGUUACUUGAAGAUGUUCUUAUGGUGAAGCAACUGAUCAGUAAACCGCCGAAGGACGAAACCAAGUCGAGACCUCGUACAAAGAAUCCGUAUCUUCUCAAAGCUGAUACGCGUAGUGGUGUUGAAAUUGAAAACAGAGAUGAGUAUCUACCGCUAUCGAUCAUGCUGAGUAUCCUUGAGCUUGCCAAGGCUAUGCCUUUCCUUUCCAAAACACAUCCAAAGCAAGCUGAAACCGUGAACGAGCACAUUCACAUAGAAACAGCUUGUUGGAUAUUAUUGCAUACCUGGCAUGGACGACAUGAUCAUAUGAACAACAUAGUCACUUGUUUUAAGUUCAGUACAGCUCGUUCUACAGAUGCGAUGGGGAGUUUCUUUGUCUUUCAAGUGUUUCAUCCUUCACGACUCCCAGAGUUAUUACCUGUGGCCCAAUGGAUUCUUGGGUUGGGCAGUUGAUUGGUUAGUUUCGUAAGUUCGACUUUAGUAGGUACAUUAUGCUGAAGAAGUGGCUAGGAACCUUACAUCAAGCUGGGAAAAAUAAUUACAGGUCUAAAGAUUUGUUAGAGUAUGAUAAGUGGCUGAAGCAAGGGAAAUUUCUACUUCUUCAUACUCUAUCCAAGUGCCAUGAAGUUUGUUGUUUAAAAUAGAGAUAGUCUCUGCAAAUAAUAUUGGAAAUUGGGGGAAAGCUUGCGGCAAUGAUUCAAAUCCAAAUGCUGCUGCAAGUGCAGAGAUCCAGCCAACUCUCCAGUGCUGGUGUGACAGUUUUUGGAUCUUGAGCUGUAAUUGUGGUUGACGUCGACUGGGGAGAGAUUGAUUACCUCGUGGUUGAUGCCCCACCAGGAACGUGGACGACCAAAUCUUCAUCGUCCAAUACCUUCAUCAUUGUCACGACCCCACAAGAAGUCUCCUUGAUCGAUGUCAGGAAGAAGUGAGCUUUUAUAAGAAGAUGUGCUUGCCCAUCAUGACGAUGAUCAAGAAGAUGAUUAUGGCAGAAACGUUUGCACCGAAGAAGUUGCUUGUUUAGAUGAUGAAUCCUAUGCUAGAGCUCUUAAGGAAGCUGAAGAAAAUGGAUAUAGCAGAUAGAUUGUCUGCCUUAUCUGAGUUAGCAGAUCGUGGGUGGACUUAUUGUUAUCUCUCAAAUUCUCUUUGAUGGGCUUCUGGAAUUGGUUUGGGAUUUUAUGCGUACUGUAGAAGAUCUGGAGGAUGGGGAUCAUACUUCUGAUCAGGUAGGCCCCUUCACUACUACAAAACCGUUUUUGGAUCUUGAUCUGUAAAUCAUUUUUUUGUGAUUGACAAUAUGAACCUUUUUGCUCAGCAUGUGAAAAGAACCAAAGUGCAAAGUUGUGACAUAGAACCUGCCAUUGUCGAAAUACAUCGUACAUGGCUCCAUCUAUCUACUAUCCUUGUGUCAUGACUCAUGGUAAUAGUUGGUUUUGUUUUGUA
Long non-coding RNA from Brassica oleracea var. oleracea, 2432 nucleotides. RefSeq lists it as uncharacterized. The transcript is spliced from 3 exons. Lineage: Eukaryota; Viridiplantae; Streptophyta; Magnoliopsida; Brassicales; Brassicaceae. The record is from RefSeq and is a predicted model, not a curated record.